CCUACGGGUGGCAGCAGUGGGGAAUAUUACACAAUGGGCGAAAGCCUGAUGCAGCGACGCCGCGUGAGCGAAGAAGGCCUUCGGGUCGUAAAACCCUGUCCUAUGGGAAGAAAGAUGACGGUAUCAUAGAAGGAAGCCCCGGCUAACUACGUGCCAGCAGUCCCGGUAAUUUGUAGGGGGCGGGCGUUGUCCGGAAUUACCGGGCGUAAAGGGUAGGUAGCCGGCUAGAUAAGUAAGAUGUGAAAGGCAUAGGCUUAACCUGUGUAAGCAUUUGAAACUGUAUAGCUUGAGUCAAGGAGAGGAAAGUGGAAUUCCUGGUGUAGCGGUGAAAUGCUUAGAUAUCAGGAGGAAUACCAGUGUCGAUGGCGACUUUCUGUACUUAGACUGACGCUGAGGUACGAAAGCGUGGGCAGCAAACAGGAUUAGAUACCCCUUUAGUC
This 440-nucleotide ribosomal RNA is filed under the name uncultured bacterium. Its description in RNAcentral is "bacterial SSU rRNA". It matches the Rfam family "Bacterial small subunit ribosomal RNA", at positions 338 to 795 of the family's 1533-position model. The record is from RNAcentral.